RNAcentral lists this ribosomal RNA (519 nucleotides) under uncultured Glomus. Its description in RNAcentral is "SSU rRNA". It matches the Rfam family "Eukaryotic small subunit ribosomal RNA", at positions 569 to 1089 of the family's 1831-position model. Lineage: Eukaryota; Fungi; Glomeromycota; Glomeromycetes; Glomerales; Glomeraceae. The record is from RNAcentral.
AGCAGCCGCGGUAAUUCCAGCUCCAAUAGCGUAUAUUAAAGUUGCUGCAGUUAAAAAGCUCGUAGUUGAAUUUCGGGACCAAUAUGUCGGUCGUGCCUCGGUACGUACUGGCAUCGUUGGUUUCUCCCUUCUGACGAACCAUGAUGUCAUUUAUUCGGUGUCGUGGGGAAUCAGGACUGUUACUUUGAAAAAAUUAGAGUGUUUAAAGCAGGCUAACGCUUGAAUACAUUAGCAUGGAAUAAUGAAAUAGGACGUUCGAUCUUAUUUUGUUGGUUUCUAAGAUUGACGUAAUGAUUAAUAGGGAUAGUUGGGGGCAUUAGUAUUCAAUUGUCAGAGGUGAAAUUCUUGGAUUUAUUGAAGACUAACUACUGCGAAAGCAUUUGCCAAGGAUGUUUUCAUUAAUCAAGAACGAAAGUUAGGGGAUCGAAGACGAUCAGAUACCCGUCGUAGUCUUAACCAUAAACUAUGCCGACUAGGGAUCGGAUGAUGUUAAUUUUUUAAUGACUCAUUCGGCGUCCG